CCUACGGGAGACAGCAGUAGGGAAUAUUGCACAAUGGGGGAAACCCUGAAGCAGCGACGCCGCGUGAGUGAAGAAGUUUUUCGGAUUGUAAACUCCUAUCAUCAGAGAAGAUAAUGACGGUAUCUAACUAAGAAGCACCGGCUAACUCCGUGCCAGCAGCCGCGGUAAUACGGAGGGUGCAAGCGUUAUCCGGAAUUACUGGGCGUAAAGAGCGCGUAGACGGGACAGCAAGUCCGAUGUGAAAUCCCAUGGCUUAACCAUAGAACUGCAUUUGAAACUGUGAUGCUAGAGUGUGGGAGAGGUAGGUGGAAUUCCUGGUGUAGCGGUAAAAUCCGUAGAGAUCAAGAGGAAUACU
Molecule: ribosomal RNA, 355 nt
Filed under: uncultured bacterium
Lineage: Bacteria
Description: partial 16S ribosomal RNA
Rfam family: Bacterial small subunit ribosomal RNA
Source: RNAcentral